UACAGAGGUCUCAAGCGUUGUUCGGAUUCAUUGGGCGUAAAGGGUGCGUAGGCGGCGCGGUAAGUCGGGUGUGAAAUCUCGGAGCUUAACUCCGAAACUGCAUUCGAUACUGCCGUGCUUGAGGACUGGAGAGGAGACUGGAAUUUCCGGUGUAGCGGUGAAAUGCGUAGAUAUCGGAAGGAACAUCAGUGGCGAAAGCGACUUCCUGGACCAAUACUGACGCUCAUGUGCGAAAGCGUGGGGAGCAAACAGG
RNAcentral lists this ribosomal RNA (253 nucleotides) under uncultured bacterium. RNAcentral describes it as "partial 16S ribosomal RNA". It matches the Rfam family "Bacterial small subunit ribosomal RNA", at positions 524 to 776 of the family's 1533-position model. The record is from RNAcentral.